Long non-coding RNA from Rattus rattus (black rat), 788 nucleotides. RefSeq lists it as uncharacterized. Lineage: Eukaryota; Metazoa; Chordata; Mammalia; Rodentia; Muridae. The transcript is spliced from 3 exons. The record is from RefSeq and is a predicted model, not a curated record.
GAGAGUCCCAGGCUGAAUUCACAGUGAAAAAGGAGGGGGAGCUGCAGCCUUGUCCAGUAGGGCAGCAGCGUGGACUGCAGGGCUGGGUUCCUCUGUAGAGGCAUCUCCUAAAGGUCCUGGGGUCAGUAGCAUGAGGAGAAUUUUCAGACACCUUACUUCCUGUCUGGGAAUAGGAGUAAGCCAGUUAGAGAAAACCAGGAAUGUGAAGGGAAGGGAGGAGAGAAAGCCCAGAGGAAGACCACAGAUGUUGAAGGUGUUUGGGUCAGGGGGCAGGGUCAGGGUGGCAUUGACCAUUGUGGUGCAGUGGACCCAUUGAAGAGGUGAGUUCAAAGGCCCAAUAUAGAGGAAAACUAGAGUAUAAUAUAGUGGAGGGAGGUGCAGGCAUUGGAAUAAGGAUGUAAUUGUCAAGAAAUUUGGUCAUGGGAUGGAGAGAAAGCUCAGCAAUUUAGGAGCACUUGCUUCUCCCUUCCAGAGUUCCAAGCAGCCACAUCCAGCAGCUCACAAUAAGGUGUAACUGGCGAUGGCGUUCAGAUAGUUGUGCGACUACAGCUCAGCUACAUGCUGAAGUAUUUCUGCAUCAGUAGGUAGUAAUGAGUAACUGCAACAGCAGGAAAAACAUCUCUCAACCAUAUUCCCCACCACUUGGAGCUCAAGAUCCCCAACAGCUUAGGGUAAAGAAAGGGUCGUCUGGCCGCACCUGCGACUCCGCACUGCCACCUGCUGGUGCAGCUGCGUCAUGGAGGCGCAGAGGAAACCCUGAGGUUGUGUUUGUCUGGAGCGGGGCUGUG